This 416-nucleotide ribosomal RNA is filed under the name uncultured bacterium. Its description in RNAcentral is "bacterial SSU rRNA". It matches the Rfam family "Bacterial small subunit ribosomal RNA", at positions 29 to 434 of the family's 1533-position model. The record is from RNAcentral.
AAUGAACGCUGGCGGCGCGCCUAAUACAUGCAAGUCGAGCGAGAAGACGUAGCAAUACGUUUGUAAAGCGGCGAACGGGUGAGGAAUACAUGGGUAACCUACCCUAGAGUGGGGAAUAACUAGCCGAAAGGUUAGCUAAUACCGCGUACGCUCCUUGGACUUCGGUUCAGGGAGGAAAGCGAUGCCGAGGGUAUCGCGCUCUUGGAUGGGCUCAUGUCCUAUCAGCUGUUGGUGAGGUAACGGCUCACCAAGGCUUCGACGGGUAGCUGGUCUGAGAGGACGAUCAGCCACACUGGCACUGCGACACGGGCCAGACUCCUACGGGAGGCAGCAGUAAGGAAUAUUGCGCAAUGGGCGAAAGCCUGACGCAGCGACGCCGCGUGGGGGAGUGAAGGUCUUCGGAUUGUUAAACCCCC